CCUACGGGUGGCAGCAGUGGGGAAUAUUGGGCAAUGGACGCAAGUCUGACCCAGCAACGCCGCGUGAAGGAAGACGGCUUUCUGAUUUUAAACUUCUUUUAAGGGGGAGGAGCAGAAGACGGUACCCCUUGAAUAAGCCACGUCUAACUACGUGCCAGCAGCCGCGGUAAUACGUAGGUGGCAAGCGUUGUCCGGAUUUACUGGGUGUAAAGGGCGUGCAGCCGGAGCGAUAAGUCAGAUGUGAAAUCCACGGGCUCAACCCCUGCACUGCAUUUGAUACUGUCUCCCUUGAGUGUCGUAGCGGUAAGCGGAAUGUAUGGUGUAGCGGUGAAAUGCGUAGAGAUAAGACAGAACAACAGUGGCGAAGGCAGAUUACCGAACGACGACUGACGUUGAGGCGCGAAAGCGUGGGGAGCAAACAGGAUUAGAUACCCGAGUAGUC
This 442-nucleotide ribosomal RNA is filed under the name uncultured bacterium. Its description in RNAcentral is "partial 16S ribosomal RNA". It matches the Rfam family "Bacterial small subunit ribosomal RNA", at positions 338 to 795 of the family's 1533-position model. The record is from RNAcentral.